GGAUAUGAGGGCACUCUGGCUGCAACGUCUAUCAAUCCAUUGAUCACUAAAGUUGAUUAUGUAUAUCUAGUUGCUAGGCAGGUGACCCCUUCCUCACUGCUCCAUAUGCAUCUCUCCCUAAGGAGUACACUCAGUUGAAAAUGACUUUCCCAGAGAGAAGAGGACCAUUCUUUGGUUGAGGCAUGAGUAGCUGCACUUCCCUACUAGAACUUCCAAACAUGCACUCACAAGCAUAAGCAAACAUAGAAAAAGUAGAUAAACUGAUGUGUUCGAAAUUCCAUCAAGAAAGUGAACU
Molecule: unclassified non-coding RNA, 295 nt
Organism: Otolemur garnettii (small-eared galago)
Lineage: Eukaryota; Metazoa; Chordata; Mammalia; Primates; Galagidae
Gene: 7SK
Rfam family: 7SK RNA
About the family: 7SK was discovered as an abundant small nuclear RNA in the mid-70s but a possible function has only recently been suggested.
Source: Ensembl